RNAcentral lists this ribosomal RNA (517 nucleotides) under uncultured bacterium. RNAcentral's name for it is "bacterial SSU rRNA". It matches the Rfam family "Bacterial small subunit ribosomal RNA", at positions 8 to 518 of the family's 1533-position model. The record is from RNAcentral.
AGAGUUUGAUCAUGGCUCAGGAUGAACGCUGGCGGCGUGCCUAAUACAUGCAAGUCGUACGAGGGAAGUCCAGCUUGCUGGACGGAACGAGUGGCGAACGGGUGAGUAAUACGUAAGCAACCUGCCUGCAAGGACUGGGAUAACACCUGGAAACGGGCGCUAAUACCGGAUAGGUAACAAAGGGGCAUCCCUAUGUUAUUAAAGGUUAGAAACACAAGCAGAUGGGCUUACGGUGCAUUAGCUAGUUGGUGAGGUAACGGCCCACCAAGGCGAUGAUGCAUAGCCGGCCUGAGAGGGUGAACGGCCACAUUGGGACUGAGACACGGCCCAGACUCCUACGGGAGGCAGCAGUAGGGAAUUUUCGGCAAUGGACGAAAGUCUGACCGAGCAACGCCGCGUGAGUGAAGAAGGUUUUCGGAUUGUAAAGCUCUGUUGUAAGGGAAGAACAGCACGGAAAGAAUCCGUGAAUGACGGUACCUUACCAGAAAGCCACGGCUAACUACGUGCCAGCAGCGGC